UUCAGUGGUAGAACACCACCUUGCCAAGGUGGGGGUCGCGGGUUCGAAUCCCGUCUUCCGCU
RNAcentral lists this transfer RNA (62 nucleotides) under Metabacillus indicus. RNAcentral's name for it is "Bacillus indicus tRNA". It matches the Rfam family "tRNA", at positions 11 to 71 of the family's 71-position model. From Rfam's summary of the family: Transfer RNA (tRNA) molecules are approximately 80 nucleotides in length. Their secondary structure includes four short double-helical elements and three loops (D, anti-codon, and T loops). Further hydrogen bonds mediate the characteristic L-shaped molecular structure. tRNAs have two regions of fundamental functional importance: the anti-codon, which is responsible for specific mRNA codon recognition, and the 3' end, to which the tRNAs corresponding amino acid is attached (by aminoacyl-tRNA synthetases). tRNAs cope with the degeneracy of the genetic code in two manners: having more than one tRNA (with a specific anti-codon) for a particular amino acid; and 'wobble' base-pairing, i.e. permitting non-standard base-pairing at the 3rd anti-codon position. Lineage: Bacteria; Bacillati; Bacillota; Bacilli; Caryophanales; Bacillaceae. The record is from Rfam by way of RNAcentral.